Molecule: ribosomal RNA, 379 nt
Filed under: uncultured cyanobacterium
Lineage: Bacteria; Bacillati; Cyanobacteriota
Description: bacterial SSU rRNA
Rfam family: Bacterial small subunit ribosomal RNA
Source: RNAcentral
CGAAAGCCUGACGGAGCAACGCCGCGUGUGGGAAGAAGGCCUUUGGGCUGUCAACCACUUUUCUCAGGGAAGAAGCUCUGACGGUACCUGAGGAAUCAGCCUCGGCUAACUCCGUGCCAGCAGCCGCGGUAAUACGGAGGAGGCAAGCGUUAUCCGGAAUUAUUGGGCGUAAAGCGUCCGCAGGGGGCUCAUCAAGUCUGCUGUCAAAGGUCGGAGCUCAACUCCGGUUCGGCAGUGGAAACUGGAUAGCUAGAGGUCGGUAGGGGCAAAGGGAAUUCCCAGUGUAGCGGUGAAAUGCGUAGAUAUUGGGAAGAACACCGAUGGCGAAAGCGCUUUGCUGGACCGAACCUGACGCUGAGGGACGAAAGCUAGGGGAGCG